AUCGCUUCUCGGCCUUUUGGCUAAGAUCAAGUGUACAUUCAGCAUUCUUCCCACGGAAACACAUGAGUCUGUGCACAAAGUUGUAUAUACAAUGGUACUGGCUUUGAAUUUUUUGCCAUAGUGAAAAUUCAAAACCUUAUUGUCCCUGAUUUGUAUCUGUUAAUUAAUUAACAAUAGCCCAU
Molecule: non-coding RNA, 182 nt
Organism: Fukomys damarensis (Damara mole-rat)
Lineage: Eukaryota; Metazoa; Chordata; Mammalia; Rodentia; Bathyergidae
Source: Rfam